AGGAAGUUUAGGAGGGAGGCCUCCGAGGAGGCUGAUGGGAGAGGAGAGCCGGCAGACCGAGAGAGCACCAGCUCCAUCUCUAACCAACUAUCUACCAGUCUCUCCAUCAACAUCUGCUGAGCUAUGAGCCAAACCAGGGAUUUACAGGGAGGAAAAGCCUUCGGGCUGCUGAAGGCCCAGCAGGAAGAGAGACUCGAUGAAAUCAACAAGCAGUUCCUGGAUGAUCCCAAAUAUAGCAGUGAUGAGGAUCUGCCCUCCAAACUGGAAACCUUCAAGAAGAAAUACAUGGAGUUUGACCUGAAUGGAAACGGAGAUAUCGAUAUCAUGUCCUUGAAGCGGAUGCUGGAGAAACUGGGGGUCCCCAAGACCCACCUGGAGCUCAAGAAAUUAAUCAGGGAGGUGUCCGGCGGCUCUGGGGAGACUUUCAGCUACUCUGACUUCCUCAAGAUGAUGCUGGGCAAGAGAUCUGCCAUCUUAAAAAUGAUCCUGAUGUAUGAGGAGAAAGCGAGAGAACAGGAGAAGCCAGCAGGUCCCCCAACCAAGAAAAAUAUCUCUGAGUUGCCCUAAUUUGUGGUAGGGGAAUGUUGUGAGAUUGAUGGGGAUUCUAAUGAUCCCAACAUGGAAAAAGGACACAGAAUUAUGAGCCAGAGCAACAAGAAUGAACAAACCACAACUACAUGCAACAAUGUGGAUGAACUUCUUCAACAUAAUGUUGAGCAAAAGAAGACAGACACAGGAAAACUCUUACUGUAUAAUUCCAUCUGUAUAAAGUACAAAAAAGG
RNA transcript from Zalophus californianus (California sea lion), 782 nucleotides. It is a transcript of the gene named allograft inflammatory factor 1, with no coding region annotated. The transcript has 7 exons. The record is from RefSeq and is a predicted model, not a curated record. Lineage: Eukaryota; Metazoa; Chordata; Mammalia; Carnivora; Otariidae.